AACAUUCAACGCUGUCGGUGAG
This 22-nucleotide non-coding RNA is filed under the name Ictalurus punctatus (channel catfish). Its record names the gene ipu-miR-181a. RNAcentral also lists the same sequence under 8 other names. Lineage: Eukaryota; Metazoa; Chordata; Actinopteri; Siluriformes; Ictaluridae. The record is from miRBase by way of RNAcentral.